Molecule: ribosomal RNA, 467 nt
Filed under: uncultured bacterium
Lineage: Bacteria
Description: partial 16S ribosomal RNA
Rfam family: Bacterial small subunit ribosomal RNA
Source: RNAcentral
GACGAACGCUGGCGGCGUGCUUAACACAUGCAAGUCGAACGGAAAGGCCCUGCUUUUGUGGGGUGCUCGAGUGGCGAACGGGUGAGUAACACGUGAGUAACCUGCCCUUGACUUUGGGAUAACUUCAGGAAACUGGGGCUAAUACCGGAUAGGAGCCCCUGCUGCAUGGUGGGGGUUGGAAAGUUUCGGCGGUUGGGGAUGGACUCGCGGCUUAUCAGCUUGUUGGUGGGGUAGUGGCUUACCAAGGCUUUGACGGGUAGCCGGCCUGAGAGGGUGACCGGCCACAUUGGGACUGAGAUACGGCCCAGACUCCUACGGGAGGCAGCAGUGGGGAAUAUUGCACAAUGGGCGGAAGCCUGAUGCAGCAACGCCGCGUGCGGGAUGACGGCCUUCGGGUUGUAAACCGCUUUCGCCUGUGACGAAGCGUGAGUGACGGUAAUGGGGAAAGAAGCACCGGCUAACUACGU